This is a long non-coding RNA of Dermochelys coriacea (leatherback sea turtle), 186 nucleotides long. RefSeq lists it as uncharacterized. The record is from RefSeq and is a predicted model, not a curated record. Lineage: Eukaryota; Metazoa; Chordata; Testudines; Dermochelyidae. The transcript has 3 exons.
AGUGUGGUCAUCCUAUUUGUAUAAAUGUAUCACUCUUGUAUCUGAAACCAGAAAUAUGAAAUAUAAAUCUGAGGGCCUAUUGUAGUUAUGCAAAGUGUGGGCCAUUAAUGGUGGUUUGGCAUCUCGAUGGCUCCCAUCGACCAGGACAAUUGACUGUGGAUGGCUCUGGUUUACUUGUAAAUCUUC